RNAcentral lists this ribosomal RNA (467 nucleotides) under uncultured bacterium. RNAcentral describes it as "partial 16S ribosomal RNA". It matches the Rfam family "Bacterial small subunit ribosomal RNA", at positions 28 to 507 of the family's 1533-position model. The record is from RNAcentral.
GAUGAACGCUGGCGGCGUGCUUAACACAUGCAAGUCGAACGGAAAGGCCCAAGCUUGCUUGGGUACUCGAGUGGCGAACGGGUGAGUAACACGUGGGUGAUCUGCCCUGCACUUCGGGAUAAGCCUGGGAAACUGGGUCUAAUACCGGAUAGGACCACUUCUUGGAUGUUGUGGUGGAAAGUUUUUUCGGUGUGGGAUGAGCUCGCGGCCUAUCAGCUUGUUGGUGGGGUAAUGGCCUACCAAGGCGUCGACGGGUAGCCGGCCUGAGAGGGUGUACGGCCACAUUGGGACUGAGAGACGGCCCAGACUCCGACGGGAGGAAGCAGUGGGGAAUAUUGCACAAUGGGCGCAAGCCGGAUGCAGCGACGCCGCGUGGGGGAUGACGGCCUUCGGGUUGUAAACUCCUUUCGCUAGGGACGAAGCGUGUUGUGACGGUACCUGGAGAAGAAGCACCGGCUAACUACGUG